CCUACGGGUGGCAGCAGUAGGGAAUCUUUCACAAUGGGCGAAAGCCUGAUGGAGCAACGCCGCGUGCAGGAUGAAGGCCUUCGGGUUGUAAACUGCUUUUAUAAGCGAGAAAUAUGAUGGUAACUUAUGAAUAAGGAUCGGCUAACUACGUGCCAGCAGCCGCGGUCAUACGUAGGAUCCGAGCAUUAUCCGGAGUGACUGGGUGUAAAGAGUUGCGUAGGUGGCAUAAUAAGUAGCUAGUGGAAUCUGGUGGCUCAACCAUUCAGACUAUUAGGUAAACUGUUAAGCUCGAGACCGUUAGGGGUAACUGGAAUGUCUAGUGUAGGAGUGAAAUCCGUAGAUAUUAGAAGGAACACCAAUAGCGUAGGCAGGUUGCUGGGACGGUUCUGACACUAAGGCACGAAAGCGUAGGGAGCAAACGGGAUUAGAUACCCUUGUAGUC
Molecule: ribosomal RNA, 442 nt
Filed under: uncultured bacterium
Lineage: Bacteria
Description: partial 16S ribosomal RNA
Rfam family: Bacterial small subunit ribosomal RNA
Source: RNAcentral